Molecule: long non-coding RNA, 150 nt
Organism: Myotis brandtii (Brandt's bat)
Lineage: Eukaryota; Metazoa; Chordata; Mammalia; Chiroptera; Vespertilionidae
Exons: 4
Source: RefSeq, a predicted model, not a curated record
AUCAAUCACUGUAGCUUUACAGUAUCUUAAAGUGUGGGCAAUAAGUAUUACAGGAUCACAUUCAUAAUUGUUCUUUAAGGUGUUUACAUACUUCUCUAAAAUUUAUUUAGGCGACCCCUAGACUUAAAAUUAUAAGUUUUUAAAUGAAAU